RNAcentral lists this ribosomal RNA (497 nucleotides) under uncultured bacterium. RNAcentral's name for it is "partial 16S ribosomal RNA". It matches the Rfam family "Bacterial small subunit ribosomal RNA", at positions 28 to 507 of the family's 1533-position model. The record is from RNAcentral.
GAUGAACGCUGGCGGCGUGCCUAACACAUGCAAGUCGAGCGAACGGACGAGAAGCUUGCUUCUUUGACGUUAGCGGCGGAGGGGUGUGUAACAUGUGGAUAACCCACCUAUAAGACGGGGAAAACUUCAGGAAACCGGAGCUUAUAGCGGAUAAUAUUCUGAAGCGCAUGGUGCGAAAGUGAGAGACGGUCUUGCGGUCACUUAUAGAUGGAUCCGCGCUGCAUUAGGUAGUUGGUAAGGUAACGGCUUACGAAGGCAAGGAUGCAUAGCCGAACUGAGAGGGUGAUCGGCCACACUGGAACUGAGACACGGUCCAGACUCCUACGGGAGGCAGCAGUAGGGAAUCUUCCGCAAUGGGCGAAAGCCUGACGGAGCAACGCCGCGUGUGUGAUGAAGGUCUUCGGAUCGUAAAGCUCUGUUAUUGGGGAAGAACAGAUGUGUAAGUAACUGUGCACAUCUUGACGGUACCUGGUCAAGAAGCCACGGCUAACUACGUG